CUAAGUUGCUGCCUUGGGCUCCCAAGUCACUUCACUGGGAUCACAGGCCUGUGCCAAAGUAUGCUGCUCUUGAACUUCUUAACCGUGAACGAGAUUCUGUGUGCCACUUUGCACAUACCUCACUCCUCAAAACAACAUUUUGAGUUAUGCAAAGGCUUAUAGAGGUUCAGUAGCUUACCAAAGGCUGUAGUCAAUGGAAUUCCACUAGUGUGUCAAUGUCAUGACCAGCAUUUAAAAAAAAAAAAAAUGAAAUAGGCUGAGUCCAGUGGUACACACCUGUAAUCCCAGCAACUUGGGAGCUGAGACAGGAGAAUUGCAAGUUGGAGGCCAGCCUUAGCAAUUUAAAAAAACCCUGUCUCAAAAUAAAAUAGGGCCGAGGGUGUAGCUCAAUGAUAGAGUACUUGCCUAGCUUGUAGGAGACCCUCGGUUUGAUCCCCAGUGCUGCAAAAGAAAAACAAAAAACUACAAAAAAUCAGAGAAUAUUUUGGGGAAAUUUGUUUCAUGUAUGUAAGUGUGUUUUACUGAAAAAAAAAAAAACAAGCUUAUUUCUUACAGAAAAUAGGGGGUAAAAAACAAAACAAAAAACUUCUAUUUUGGACACCAUUAACGAUACAGCAUGAGUUUACUGGUUUGUACGGAGUUUGCUGUGGGAAUAUAAUCAGUCAGGUACCUGAUUGUGCAACUGCUUGCGAGCCUGAGACCCAGGACCUCCAGGGGUCAUGCUGGACAGAUGCCACCCACAAGGACCACUAGAUUAGUAGUUUUUAUUACUAUGACUUUUAUUAUUAAUAUUAAUAGAAAAUCAUGGACCUAGAAAACCUGAUUCCUCUGCUCCUUGGCUGUCGGGCCAGGCUCUGACCAACCAACCCCUUCUGCUGAUGGAAAAACAGUAAAGAAAUUGCUGGGAUGGUGGGCCUGGGAGCCAAAGGGCCUGGGCUCAAAGCCUGGCUCUGCUACUUAAUAGCUGGAUGACCUUGAAUAAGUCACAAAACUUCUGUUUCAAGGACCUCAUUUGUAACAUAGAGAAUCUAAGGCAACCUAUCUUGUAGGACUAAUGUGAGGAUCACAGGAGAGAAUGCAGUCAUCCCUAGAUAUCCUUGGGGGAAUGGCUCCAAAACCCCUUCAGAUAGGAAAGGCUUUGGGUGCUUAUGUCCCUUACAUGGCAUAGUAUUUGCAUACAACCUACACACAUCCUCCCAUAGAUUUUAAAUCACCUUUUAUAACACCAGAUGAUGUAAAUGCUGUGUAACAGUUGAUAUACUGUAUUGUUUAGGAAUAAUAAGAAAAAGUCUGAACCUGUUCAGAUCAGACACAAUAUUCUGCAGAUUUUCCUUUUUUUCUUUUUAGUAUUUGAGAUUGCAGAUAUUUUUCAUUCUCCGUUGGGUGUAGAACCAGAAGAAAUGGAGAGCCAGGUGUAUAAGGAAAUGUUCUCAGAAAAUGCCUGGCAUGUCCUUCCUCCUCUAUAAAUGUCAGCUAUUAUUGUCUUUCCAAAGCCAUGGGAAGCCACCAAUGGAAGGAUUGCUGGCAGAGGAGGAGCCCCCGUCCCUGGAGGCAGCUUCAACCCGGACAUUGGCAUUGACACAUUAUUGGCCACAUUAUUGUCUUCUGACAGGGAUAUACGCAGCUGUGCCCAAGCAGUGACCUAGAGAUGAAGAGAGGCAACACGAAAAUGGUAUGGCAAAAUCUAAAUGCUGCGCAUCGUCACCAAGGCUGGUGGUACCCGGAUCUGAGAGUGGAUGGAUAAGAUGUGGAGUAUCAUCCAGCAACAGCAGCAGAUGGCGUGUGGUUAGAUGCGACCACGGCGAUGAGCCGGGAACACAUCGUGCUGAGUGAAAAACCAGAUACAAAGGCCACAUGUUAUAGAAUUCCAUCUACACGGAACACCCAGAGGGGGGGACCAUGGAGAAGCUACUCAGGAGGCUGAGAUAGGAGGAUCAUAAGUUCAAGGCCAGCCUGGGCAACUUGAUGAGAUGCCUACUCAAGAUAAGAAGGACUGGGGAUGAGGCUCAUGGUAAGGCACCACUGGGUUCAAUCCCCAGAAUACACACCUCCUCUCUCUCUCUCCCCCUCUUUUCUCUCUCUCUCUCUCUCUCUCUCUCACACACACACCGAUGAUAAAAAGAGAAGACAGGGGCUGGGGAUGUGGCUCAAGCGGUAGCGCGCUCACCUGGCACGCAUGCGGCCCGG
Molecule: long non-coding RNA, 2187 nt
Organism: Marmota monax (woodchuck)
Lineage: Eukaryota; Metazoa; Chordata; Mammalia; Rodentia; Sciuridae
Exons: 3
Source: RefSeq, a predicted model, not a curated record